This 253-nucleotide ribosomal RNA is filed under the name uncultured bacterium. RNAcentral describes it as "partial 16S ribosomal RNA". It matches the Rfam family "Bacterial small subunit ribosomal RNA", at positions 524 to 776 of the family's 1533-position model. The record is from RNAcentral.
UACGAAGGGGGCGAGCGUUGUUCGGAUUUACUGGGCGUAAAGGGCGCGCAGGCGGCUUAUUUUGUCAGGCGUGAAAGCCCCGGGCUUAACCUGGGAACUGCGUUUGAUACGGAUGGGCUAGAGUUCGGGAGAGGAGAGUGGAAUUCCCAGUGUAGAGGUGAAAUUCGUAGAUAUCUGGAGGAACACCGGUGGCGAAGGCGGCGUUCUGGACUGCAACUGACACUGAGGAACGAAAGCCAGGGGAGCAAACGGG